GGGGGAGUAGCUCAGCUGGCAGAGCAAUUGCCUUGCACGCAAUAGGUCGUCGGUUCGAAUCCGAUCUCCUCCACCA
RNAcentral lists this transfer RNA (76 nucleotides) under bacterium. RNAcentral describes it as "tRNA-Ala". It matches the Rfam family "tRNA". Rfam says of the family: Transfer RNA (tRNA) molecules are approximately 80 nucleotides in length. The record is from RNAcentral. RNAcentral also lists the same sequence under 1 other name.